CCUGUCUGCCCGGCCAGGAAGCUUCGUCUUCGGAUCACCAGGGACAGGCACGGAGGCAGAUGGUGAGGGCCAUUCAAGGACAUCUUCAGCACAGCGCGGUGGAAGGCGGAGUUGGUUCGUGGCCCUGGAUUCCGCUCGCUUGGCCCAACAGCCUCAGUAUAGAAGAAUGGGAAU
RNAcentral lists this long non-coding RNA (174 nucleotides) under Oryctolagus cuniculus (rabbit). RNAcentral's name for it is "lncRNA (ENSOCUG00000035518.1)". Lineage: Eukaryota; Metazoa; Chordata; Mammalia; Lagomorpha; Leporidae. The record is from RNAcentral.